Molecule: ribosomal RNA, 253 nt
Filed under: uncultured bacterium
Lineage: Bacteria
Description: partial 16S ribosomal RNA
Rfam family: Bacterial small subunit ribosomal RNA
Source: RNAcentral
UACGGAGGGUGCAAGCGUUAUCCGGAUUCACUGGGUUUAAAGGGUGCGUAGGCGGGUUGGUAAGUCCGUGGUGAAAUCCCCAAGCUUAACUUGGGAACUGCCGUGGAUACUAUCAAUCUUGAAUAUCGUGGAGGUAAGCGGAAUAUGUCAUGUAGCGGUGAAAUGCUUAGAUAUGACAUAGAACACCAAUUGCGUAGGCAGCUUACUACACGAUCAUUGACGCUGAGGCACGAAAGCGUGGGGAGCAAACGGG